CCGACCACGCCCGCCGUACCUAGGCCCGCCCCCUUACUUCCCUAUAUAAACCUCUAGCCGUCCAAACAAUGUCAGACAUUGCUGGACGGCAGAGGUACUAGUGACAUGUCUGGUGGCCACACUGAGCGCUUGUCUCUUAUUGGAGCUCUGCUAGCUCUCUACUGACACCUCUGGCCAAAUUUAAUAUGACACAUUUCUGCUAACCUCAGGUUUUUACAUUAUCAUAUGUUACUUUGUGACUAUAUGGGCCUGAGGUCUUGCUAUAUGUGAUUCUGCACCGCCGGCUUCCUUCCUCUUAAUUUCAUCCAGAGGAGUCUUUCUGCGUCCUGAUAGUGGUGUCCUUUCUCUGGGGUGUGCAGGGUUGAUUAAACGCUGUGAUUGAAAAGUGGUUCUUAUACUCGUUGACUACAUAUACUUCGGCCCCUGAUGAAGGG
Molecule: long non-coding RNA, 434 nt
Organism: Rana temporaria (common frog)
Lineage: Eukaryota; Metazoa; Chordata; Amphibia; Anura; Ranidae
Exons: 4
Source: RefSeq, a predicted model, not a curated record